Non-coding RNA from Artomyces pyxidatus, 100 nucleotides. Lineage: Eukaryota; Fungi; Basidiomycota; Agaricomycetes; Russulales; Auriscalpiaceae. The record is from the annotation of a GenBank genome assembly.
GGGCAUGUGGCACAGUGGUUAGCGCGCACGCUUUGCAUUGUUUCCGGUUACACGGGCAAUUCCUUGCGUGAGGUCAAGGGUUCGACUCCCUUCCUGUCCA